GAGGAGACCUGGCUGAAGUUGUGAAUAUGUUUAUGUGUUUUUACGUUCUUUAGGGGGAGUCUGCUGUCAGCCUUGGUUUCAGCCAGUUUAGAAGAAUGUGAACAGUAGAAGAACAUGAGUAAAUUGCAUUUAAGAGAGCAGCUAAAUGCUGAUGGCAAUUAUUUCCAGAAGAAAAAAGCAAUUUAAAGGCAGGUCUCUGUAGGACCUCUAAAGAUCACGUUUUAGCUUGGUGACAUCUUACAGAAGAGUGGCGGUUACUAGGCUCGGGUUCAUGACAGACAUUUACAUAACCAAAUGCAGGCAAAAUCCUAUCACCAAGCAUUUUGUUUCAUGCCUUAGAAUGUCAAGCCUUUCUCAUUAUUAUAUAAGCCCACGCAAGGCAGAAAAACAGAGCAUAAAACAAAAGCUGGAGUAAGCCUGCAUAGGGAGAGGAUUGCUUUGCAGUGAGGACUAGCAAAGCAAAGGAGUUAUGAGUAAAAUUAACAGUCUGAAUGUGUUGCUUUAGCCAUACAUUUGCUCUGGUGGUCACACUAGAUCUUCACGGAUGACUCCCAGGUGAAAACUUGCAUUUCAAGUCCUUUGUUGAUGCUGUGUUUUCAGAGAAUUUCUCAAGUGGCUCAGGGCAUUAGGAAAAUUAUGGACUUUUCAGUCCCUUUCCCUCAUUUACUGCCAGCAUUGUGCUAGCAGAGUACCGUCCCUGCCAGGGGAUGGGAAGACACUGAUGUCAAAUUCUCUCUUGCUAGGACAGAAUUAUACCAUGGUUUCCUUAAAUGUUUAUGGCCACUGGGUAAGCAUAGUUGACUUUAUAGUUGGUUUGGAAGAGGAGAACAAGCAGUCUCAGACCAUGAAAGGACAGGCUCUAGAGUGCCUGAUUCAAAAGAGGUGGCGUCUACUGGCACAUAAAUAGUUUCUCUCUAGUGUGGCAGAUUGCGUGCCUGUGAUUGUGCACUGCAGAGUGAGUCAGCCCUGCAGAGAAUGGAGCAGGAUGGCUCUGCAGCAGCAGCAGAUACAUGUCCAUUAGCAGUCAGUUCAGGCUAGGUAAGGUCAGGAGAUGCCUGCUGUCAGAUGCUGCAUGCAUAGACAAUGUCUUCAUAGAGCUUGCUGACCUUUCUCUUAUUUAAAUAUUUAAUACUAGCUGUGUUUUUUCCCCCAAAAAAAGGCUGCAGGUCUUUGCUUUGCUGAUCUGUUGGAGAAGCACAUCCUUGAAGUUUGGCCAGUGACUGCUUUCUAGGACUGCUUUAGUAGGUUCAAAUAUAUCUUUAAAUGAACUGCAAUAAGAUAACUCCUGUUCAGGAGAAACGCCUAUUCCUCUCCCAUAGGUAUCCAAGGGAACCCUGUGGUUGAUGCAUUACUGGAGAUGGGAAAUGAACACCGCUGACCAGAAAAGUGUAACUGUUGGUGAGAAAAGCCCAGCAGCUGGGGUGAAAGAAGGAACAAGCCAAGCAGUAAGAGCUGCAGAAAGCUGUAUGAAUGAGGAGAAAGCUGUACUUGUGGUUCAAGAUCUGGGUCCAGUUUCCAGCAUUAUUCCAGUUCCCUUGUGUGAUGUUGAACAGACUGUGUUGCAGUUCUACACUGUGAAGUGGAGCCUGCUCAAUGACCCAGUCCAGAGCCAGCUUUUUAUGGGCACUGAGGCAAUUCUGUAUAGGAUGCUGAGCUGUUCACUGGCAUUACGAAUUUUCCCCCUUCUCCCAUGAGAGUGAGUCUUCUGAUAUGAGGUGGAUUUUGCACCCAGCUUGAGCACUGAGGGAAUGGGAGUGUCUGUCAGUAUUUUCAAGUAGGUUAAUUCAGAAGAUUUUGGUAAAAACUUGCUUCAGGAUUACUGCAGUGGUCAGUGGUAAAGAGGAGUUGCAUCUCUUCAGCGUUUCUUAUUUCAGAAUCAGGAUUUCAUCAGCUCCAGCAAACCAUAGAAUGUUUGCUAACAGAAGGAUUUCAUCACCAUCAUUACAAAUGUGCUAAUCCCAUCUGGACUCCUAGCUAGCGGGGGUGAGUGAUUAUUCAGCUGAUAGGGUCAAACUUAAGAUUGUUUGAGAAAUUUCAGCCUUGAAUUUCUAAUAUGAUUUUUUUUAACUUUAACCUUCACCUGUCUUUCAGAUAAUUGCUUUAAAUUACUGUGUUGUUCUAAAAGGAAAAGUCAACUAAAUUUACUUUAAAAAUCCUCAUGGUUUAUCUUUUGAGAGCUUCCAGUUUGGGAUAAACUCAGCAAGGGAAAUUGCUCAGUAUGGGGGUGAUCACACCCCCAUGUGGAAUUACUUCUGUUUCAGUUCAGAAUAUAGUUUGGGUAGCAGUUGAGUCCUCAGUGUCUAUGAUCUGUUGGAAUAGUCUGGUUGGGUGACGUCUCUAAAAUUCCUUAACAUAUGUGUAUAGUAGGAUUUUAUCUAUGAUUGUUUAGGGAUUGUUUUUUCUUGGGAGAUCUGGUUUCCAGAGAAGCAUAGUAACCUGGAAAAGUAAAUAUGCUUUAGGAGAAUAAAAACCUCAUGAAGAGAAAUUAAUUCCAAAAGCUAAGCAAUUGUUUCAAACUACAAUGCAACAGCAGAUAUAAUAAAAAUAACUCUCAAUAAACCUUGCUUCCCUCCCAGUUUAACCACACGGAUGUUGAUUUUGUGGCCUUUUACAGUUUCCAUCUUAGCUUCCCAUAGAAAACCUCACUGUUCUACAGGUGAGAUUACCUGUGUCUGACAUACAGGGAUUUACCACUUGUACUCUUAGUAUACCUCUUUCUUAGAAUCGAUAAGGUUGAAAGGGACCUCUGGAGAUCAUCUAGUCCAACCCCCCUGCUCAAGCAGGGUCAGCUCUGCAGGUAUGAACCAUCUCUUUCUCCUGAUACAAUAAACAAAAGAGGAAUUCUUCCCAGUGCCAUUUACUCUGGAACAUGACUUUUUCUGUUUCAAAGUCAAAAGGAUUGUGUUCCCAUCUCUGUUUUUGUUACUGUCACUCACUAAUAAAUGCUGUUAUCUUUCUCUACAA
Rhea pennata is the source of this 2964-nucleotide long non-coding RNA. RefSeq lists it as uncharacterized. Lineage: Eukaryota; Metazoa; Chordata; Aves; Rheiformes; Rheidae. The transcript has 2 exons. The record is from RefSeq and is a predicted model, not a curated record.